Molecule: ribosomal RNA, 550 nt
Filed under: uncultured marine picoplankton
Lineage: Eukaryota
Description: bacterial SSU rRNA
Rfam family: Eukaryotic small subunit ribosomal RNA
Source: RNAcentral
CGUAUAUUAAAGUUGUUGCAGUUAAAAAGCUCGUAGUUGGAUUUCUGGUAGGAGCGACCGGUCGGGCAUUGAUUUGUCUGCACUGGAGUCGGUUCUUGCCAUCCUCUUGGAAAGUGCGUAUGGCAUUAAGUUGUCGUGCGUACGAUCCAGGUCUUUUACUGUGAAAAAAUUAGAGUGUCUAAAGCAGGCCUUCGCCUUGAAUACAUUAGCAUGGAAUAAUAAGAUAGGACCUUGGUGCUAUUUUGUUGGUUUGCGUACCGAGGUAAUGAUUAAUAGGGACAGUUGGGGGUAUUUGUAUUCCAUUGUCAGAGGUGAAAUUCUUGGAUUUAUGGAAGACAAACUACUGCGAAAGCAUUUACCAAGGAUGUUUUCAUUAAUCAAGAACGAAAGUUAGGGGAUCGAAGAUGAUUAGAUACCAUCGUAGUCUUAACCAUAAACUAUGCCGACUAGGGAUUGGCGGUCGUUUUAUUGACUCCGUCAGCACCUUAUGAGAAAUCAAAGUCUUUGGGUUCCGGGGGGAGUAUGGUCGCAAGGCUGAAACUUAAAGAAA